This 1209-nucleotide long non-coding RNA is filed under the name Oreochromis niloticus (Nile tilapia). RNAcentral describes it as "lncRNA (ENSONIG00000030347.1)". The record is from RNAcentral. Lineage: Eukaryota; Metazoa; Chordata; Actinopteri; Cichliformes; Cichlidae.
CAACAGUUGCACUUCAUGAAACCAUUUAAAAACAGCAUGGACAUAAUGGUUAAACGAUCCCUCCUCAUAUUGUUUCAUCCAUUUGCUGUGUGUAUCAGAUGUUUCCUAAUAAAGAGGUGGGGUACACACUGGACAGGUUGUCAUGCUGUGGCAGAGCUAACAUAGAGACACAGAGGCAUCAUGAACUGCAGGGGGAUGUCAAGUACCACAAAUACAACUGUCAGUGGUGACACCACCUAACAGGAUCACAGAGCUCCCCACAAAGCAGUGACACGCCCACCUGAAACUCUUGAUAUCAACAUAAAUUCAAACUGUCAUUUAUUCAUGUGUUCCUGUCGUCUACAACAUGGACAUUUUCACAUAUGGUCACCUCAGCUUUUUGAUAUUUCUGCUUUGGAUCAAAGGUCUAACCGAUGCCAAGGAUGUCACACAAACUCCCAUGCUGUGGGAACAACAGGGUAAUAAUGCAACAAUGGACUGCAGCCAUACCAAGGGUGCUUCCUAUUUCCAGAUGUACUGGUACAGACAGCUUCCAGGAGAAAAUAUGGAACUGAUUGUGUUCACGACAACAGCCAAAAAAUACGAUCAUGACUUUGGAAAAUUCAAAAAAGAGAAAUACUCAGCCACAAAGACUGAGGCUCGUGAUGGGACAUUUACAGUGAAGAACCUGCAGCCAAAAGACAGUGGCUGGUAUUUCUGUGCCGUCAGUGAGCACAGUGAUACAGACUCAUGUGAAAGCUGAACAAAAACCUCACUGAAUGGUUGGCACAAGUGUUGCAAUUAUUUCCUGUACUGUAGGGGGACCUCAAGUACAACUACAGAUCAGAGGAUCAUAUGAAGGUCUUCAUCUUCCCACCACACACACAUUUAAGUUUUGGUUCCUCUGAACAGGAUGAUGAUCACAGCUGGCUGGAUAAAACUCUCUUCAAUGCUCUGUUUGCAUAUAUGAAGCUUCCACAUAAAUGACGGCAUGAAAAACCAUUCAUAGAAAAUUAUAAACUCAUAUUCACAGGCUCAUUAAGUCAUUCAGUAGAUACAAACAAAAUUAAUCAGUAAAAUAAAUAAAGAUAUAUUUAGUUACAGUUUUAAAUGACCGGUUAAUGAUAUGACAUACAGAACCAUAUACACACACACUGAAAUUACUGCCAACCAUUAAGUUAAAAAAAACAAAAUAAAACAAACAAACAUAUUUCACUCAAAGACAGCCCA